UCUAAUAUGACAGAAUUUAUGUGAUGAACUUAAAAUUCAUUUAUAAAGAUUAAUUAAUAUCUUUUUUUAGAA
This 72-nucleotide transfer RNA is filed under the name Maesaipsyche stengeli. RNAcentral's name for it is "tRNA-Leu". Lineage: Eukaryota; Metazoa; Arthropoda; Insecta; Trichoptera; Hydropsychidae. The record is from RNAcentral.